CUACCACAUUAUUCUACCUUUAUAAGACUAUCACAUUAUUCUACCUUCAUAUAGACUAUCACAUUAUUCUACCUUUAUAUAGACUAACACAUUAUUCUACCUUUAUAUAGACUAUCACAUUAUUCUACCUUCAUAUAGACUAACACAUUAUUCUACCUUUAUAUAGACUAACACAUUAUUCUACCUUUUCACCAUUCGCAAUGCAUGUAGAUCCAUAUAAUCACACGUAGAAUCUCUCUGUUUAUCAAUUAUGUAAAUCACAUAAUACAACAGGUGUUGACUACCAUGAAAUGCUUGCUUACGAACCCCUGUCAACGAUGCAGAGUUAAAAUAGACUAAGACUAGUAGAAUCAAAUUAGUAGAAACUAGUAGAAUCAAAUUAUAUACAGAGAGUUCCAGUAUCAGCUCAAUGUGCAGAGGUACAGGGUAAAGUGACUAGACAUCAGGAUAGAUAAUAAUAAGGUAUUUGAGGUAGAUAUAUACAUGAAGGCAGGGUAAAGUGACUAGACAUCAGGAUAGAUAAUAAUAAGGUAUUUGAGGUAGAUAUGUACAUGAAGGCAGGGUAAAGUGACUAGGCAUCAGGAUAGAUAAUAAUAAGGUAUUUGAGGUAGAUAUGUACAUGAAGGCAGGGUAAAGGGAUUAGUCAUCAGGAUAGAUAAUAAUACAAGUCAAAUAAAGAGUAGCAGCAUAUGAUGCAUGUGAAUGUGUGUGUAUGUAUGUGUGUGGCUCGGUUUACAUGUCUGUGUUUUGUGUGUAUUUGUGUAUAUACACUGUAAACCUCAAUGUGAUGUCAUUACUCAAAACUUUUGGAGGAAACCCGUGGCACUUUAUAAUAUAUCUGAGUCCAGUUACUUACAUUGAUUUUGAAUGUCAUUACUCGAUAAAGUCACUGUGAUUCCAACUGCAGGAGCCUGUUGGUCUGAGAGCCGAUGCUCCGGUAUUGUUUGCCGGAUGGUAGCAGGAUGAACCGUCU
RNAcentral lists this long non-coding RNA (973 nucleotides) under Salmo salar (Atlantic salmon). RNAcentral's name for it is "lncRNA (ENSSSAG00000099019.1)". Lineage: Eukaryota; Metazoa; Chordata; Actinopteri; Salmoniformes; Salmonidae. The record is from RNAcentral.